RNAcentral lists this ribosomal RNA (483 nucleotides) under uncultured bacterium. RNAcentral's name for it is "partial 16S ribosomal RNA". It matches the Rfam family "Bacterial small subunit ribosomal RNA", at positions 29 to 507 of the family's 1533-position model. The record is from RNAcentral.
AUUGAACGCUGGCGGCAUGCUUUACACAUGCAAGUCGAACGGCAGCGCGGGCUUCGGCCUGGCGGCGAGUGGCGAACGGGUGAGUAAUACAUCGGAACGUGCCCAGUAGUGGGGGAUAGCUCGGCGAAAGCCGGAUUAGUACCGCAUACGACCUGAGGGUGAAAGCGGGGGAUCUUCGGACCUCGCGCUAUUGGAGCGCCGAUGGCAGAUUAGCUAGUUGGUGGGGUAAAGGCCUACCAAGGCGACGAUCUGUAGCUGGUCUGAGAGGACGACCAGCCACACUGGGACUGAGACACGGCCCAGACUCCUACGGGAGGCAGCAGUGGGGAAUUUUGGACAAUGGGCGAAAGCCUGAUCCAGCAAUGCCGCGUGUGUGAUGAAGGCCUUCGGGUUGUAAAGCACUUUUGGCGGGAACGAAAAGGACUGUGCCAAUACCACGGUUCGAUGACGGUACCCGCAGAAUAAGCACCGGCUAACUACGUG